Non-coding RNA from Myotis lucifugus (little brown bat), 76 nucleotides. The record is from Rfam. NCBI's taxonomy places the organism in Eukaryota, Metazoa, Chordata, Mammalia, Chiroptera, Vespertilionidae.
GAGACACCCUUCUGGGGCAGGACUUGCUUCAGUGGGGCUUUGGUGUUCACUGAGCCUACCCCCUGAGUGUGUCCCU